GGUUUUCAGAGAUUUAUUGAAAAUCAGGCCUGCUCAGUGCGAAAGUAAACAGCCGCGGUAUCAUGACCGUGCUAAGGUAGCAUAAUCAUUAGUCUUUUAAUUUUAGACUGGUAUGAAGGGUUAGACUAAGUAAUUUUGUCUUGUAAUAAUAUUUCGAAUUUUAUGUUUUAGUAAAAAAGCUAAAAUUUCUUUUAGGGACGAGAAGACCCUGUCAAGCUUUACAAAUCAGGUCAUUAUUCUUAAGAUGAUUAAAAUUUGUUUUACUGGGGCAGUAGAUAAUAAAAUUUUAUUUAUAUAUUGUGAGGAUAAAUUUUGUUAAAUCAGGAAAUUCCUAAAGAAAAAUAAGUUACUGCAGGGAUAACAGCGUAAUUCUUUUUGAGAGUUCUUAUCGUCAUUAGAGUUUGCGACCUCGAUGUUGGAUUAAAAUUCCUGGUUCACGCAAUAGUGAAAAAAGGAAGUCUGUUCGACUUUUAAAAUUUUCCA
RNAcentral lists this ribosomal RNA (483 nucleotides) under Scorpio propinquus. RNAcentral describes it as "partial 16S ribosomal RNA". It matches the Rfam family "Archaeal large subunit ribosomal RNA", at positions 1917 to 2669 of the family's 2987-position model. Lineage: Eukaryota; Metazoa; Arthropoda; Arachnida; Scorpiones; Scorpionidae. The record is from RNAcentral.